RNAcentral lists this ribosomal RNA (229 nucleotides) under uncultured bacterium. RNAcentral's name for it is "partial 16S ribosomal RNA". It matches the Rfam family "Bacterial small subunit ribosomal RNA", at positions 568 to 796 of the family's 1533-position model. The record is from RNAcentral.
UUCGUAGGCGGGAUAUUAAGUCAGUGGUGAAAUCCUACAGCUUAACUGUAGAACUGCCAUUGAUACUGAUAUUCUUGAAUUCACCUGAAGUAAGCGGAACAUGACAUGUAGCGGUGAAAUGCUUAGAUAUGUCAUAGAACACCGAUUGCGAAGGCAGCUUACUAAAGUGAUAUUGACGCUAAGGAACGAAAGCGUGGGGAGCGAACAGGAUUAGAUACCCUGGUAGUCC